Molecule: long non-coding RNA, 1137 nt
Organism: Cygnus atratus (black swan)
Lineage: Eukaryota; Metazoa; Chordata; Aves; Anseriformes; Anatidae
Exons: 3
Source: RefSeq, a predicted model, not a curated record
AUAUUAAUUCCCCUUUCGUCACUCUUAAAGAGUGUUCCAGGCAGCAGACAAAAGUCUUCACUAAAUACCAGUUGACUUGGCUUUUUGGCAGUCUUGCAGUGGCCAAUAUUGUCUUUGCUAUGCUAACAAGAGUCAGUUCACCCAGUUUUGACGCCGUGAGAUUUAGCUUACACUCUCCUAUUUAUUGUUUGGGCCACUACAGUUGCCUCAGAGCCCUAGCAGGAGUGCUGCAGAGUGCAAAAACGAAUGAAAGGACAGCCUCUCUUCUGAAGAGCUUGCGAUGGCUGAUGUUUGCUCUCAGAGCUGACCUGCAGUAAGGCGGCAAUGGCAGCACUAUACUGCGGUGCAACUGAAGAUCCAAUCUUCAGGCAGAGAUGCUUGAGAGAAACAGAUGCUGUGUCCUGUGGGACAGGGAGGACCACAUCCAGCCUCAUUGCUAUCUGGAGACGUGUAGCCCUGAGUCACUGACGGCAGGCUCCCAGCCUCCUUCUUCUCUGGCCUCACAACUGCAGGGCAGCUGUCCUCCCACACAUCCUUCCCUUGCCUUGCACCUCAAACUCUCUCUCAAGACGUGCUGAAGGCAGCCUGAAGGCCAGCAACUCGCAGGAGGUGAGGAUUCACUAAUGAUAAGACUUUUUUUAGCAUCCACCCACGCAGGGCACUAACAGCAGGAAACCACACCAGCAGUUACGCAGUGUCUUACGGCGUGGUUUGGCAACUGAAGAGGGAAAGUGAAGAACGUAAGUGAACAGAGAUCUAGGUAAUGCUCUGUACUUUCCCAAACUGGAAUCAUGGGUUUAAUAUUUCUGUUGUUGAGAAGUUGUGCUGCUGGUGAAGCUGGCCAGUGUUACAUCUGCAGUGUGGAUGGGAUCUUCCACUCUUAUCGGAGGGGCCUCCAGGCUGCAGGUACAGCUAACGAGGAGCUCGGGCCCGGACCUAUCUGUACUUCUGAGCUCACACUGGACAAGGAUACUGUCCUUGUUUUUCAGGAUGCUUAUCAGCAUGCAUUAGUAAACACAGAUGAUGGCAAUUAAGCCUUUGGGAGAAUCUUGGCACAUUGGAACUGACCGCUUUUCUGAUUGAAAACCGAGAUAGGAGGAGAAACCUUUAUUCCAUGGCUGAACAAAACAUCUUGAA